Long non-coding RNA from Mastomys coucha (southern multimammate mouse), 1464 nucleotides. RefSeq lists it as uncharacterized. The record is from RefSeq and is a predicted model, not a curated record. The transcript is spliced from 3 exons. NCBI's taxonomy places the organism in Eukaryota, Metazoa, Chordata, Mammalia, Rodentia, Muridae.
GACAGCGUAUCACAUGCCUUUGUCACUAUUGAGUUAUGUGUGAAAUUUGCCUGCUGCACGUAUUACAAAUGAUUCCAGCAUACACUGGGGCUUUUUUUUUUUUUAAACCCAUGCAGCAACAAGUGGCAGAAUCAAUGGUGUACAGUUAUUCAGCAGUGUAAUUCAUUUCACUGGCUUUGGCUUCUAGCCAGAUCGCCAUCUGUCUCCAGAUUUCCCUCUCCCGGUCUCUCCCUCUCUUUCGCUUAAAUUUGUCCUACAUUCCGUAAUGUUAUGUGCCUGUCAUCCUUAUCCUAUGCCAGAGGUACACUGCCAGCCUCACCCCCUUUCCAGAGUGGAGUUCUCUGUCUGACUUCAGUGGCUCCUGGGAUAUUCCACAUCAAUGCCAUGGGAAGACAAGGGUAAGAAAAAAAAAAGGAGUAAUGCAAUAACAAUUUUUAUAAUUAUAACACAAUUAUAAUAUUGUGGAAUCAAAUUGCUCCUGCUUCUGCCUUUUAUCCAAAGCCUGGAGACGGUUCUGCAUCACCCAGGAAGUUUCCCUGCUUCGUUAGAAUAUCUUUGUUUUCUUUAUCAUACGCUGGCACAGGACGCCAGUACACCACUCCAUGGAAUACCUGCUGUUGGACACUUGCAGAGCUCUGCCACCAAGCAACCUCCUGCACUGGAAAUUGGGCACUCCUCUAAGAUCUUAUGUGUGCUUGCUGUUUGAAGCUGCAGAAAUGUGAAUAAUCAAUUAAGUAUUGAUUUCUUGUAAGAUUUGGUAAAUUUCAAGACAAAGAGGAUGGCUUAAGGAAACACUGCAGGGACUUGGCGUAAAUUAGACAACUAACGGAGAUGCAGAAUAAAAUAACACCUCAAGUGAAGAUUUCCUUGGAAGAAUUAGCACUAGCUAUUGGAAGACAAUGGUGGAUUUAAUCAAAACAGAAGGCAUGCAAGAAUUUCACCCGUGAACGAGAAAAAGGAGCUAAUUAUAACCACCUUUUUAAUGGAGCUAAUUUGACUGGAUGGAUGCAAAUGUGCUUUCCUUUUGGAUGAAGAAACAUGCCUUUCAGCAUGAUCUUGGGAUCAUCUUAUCUGCUAAGCCUUGCAGCUCCUGUGCCCUUCCACACAUUUUUUAUUUCCAGAGAAGGUUUGGAUAUUAGCCACUGAUGAUCUCUUCCAAGAAGAAAGACUAUGCCAUCCUCUCAUUUGCCUUCUGAACAGCAGAGUGAAGAUUCUUUCCAAAACCAUAAUGGGUUUUUCAAUAUCCACACAGAAAAAGCCUUUCUCACUGUGGAUGAAAAGUACCAGUCUGGGGCUGGAGAGAUGGCUCAGCAGAUGAGAGCGCUAACUUCUCUUCCUGAGGUUCUGCAUUCAAUUCCCACAACCACGUGAUAGUUCACAACCAUCUGUAAUGGAAUAUGAUGCCAUCUACUGGUGUGUCUGAAUAUAGGUACAAUUACACAUAUAAUAAAAAAAAUCUUUAAA